Molecule: ribosomal RNA, 253 nt
Filed under: uncultured bacterium
Lineage: Bacteria
Description: partial 16S ribosomal RNA
Rfam family: Bacterial small subunit ribosomal RNA
Source: RNAcentral
UACGUAGGGGGCAAGCGUUGUCCGGAUUUAUUGGGCGUAAAGAGCGUGUAGGCGGCCAGACAGGUCAGCUGUGAAAACUCGAGGCUCAACCUCGAGACGUCGGUUGAAACCGUCUGGCUAGAGUCCGGAAGAGGAGAGUGGAAUUCCCGGUGUAGCGGUGAAAUGCGCAGAUAUCAGGAGGAACACCAACGGCGAAGGCAGCUCGCUGGGACGGUACUGACGCUGAGGCGCGAAAGCGUGGGGAGCGAACAGG